UGCAAGGGAAUAGAUUACUAAGAAAGGAUAAAUAAUCCUGAUCGAUUGUAAGCAACGACGUUAGUUUCCCAUACGAAAGAACAUAAUAAAUGCGAUAGAAAGAGAAAGAUAUUCUUACAAGGGGUUGUUAAGGGAAGCCUCAACAGGGCUGGCGUUCAUCGGGCUACCUUCGGAUGAAUACGAGCCGAAGAAGAAUGAGAAUAAGGGUGAAGGAUGAGAGAUAGUGUUUUCGGUUCGCCGCACUAUUAAAAUACGGUACAAACGUUAGAGAGAGAGAGAUAAAAUAAGAAGGGUCAUUGAGAAUGAAGGAAAACACCAAGAAUGAGAAUCACUGCACACACCAUCGUUAGGUGGUGUGGGUAGCCGAAAAACUUACAUUUGGUAGCGCGUUAGACGAGGACGAUCGUGAAGGGUG
This is a long non-coding RNA of Polistes canadensis, 415 nucleotides long. RefSeq lists it as uncharacterized. The record is from RefSeq and is a predicted model, not a curated record. The transcript has 4 exons. Lineage: Eukaryota; Metazoa; Arthropoda; Insecta; Hymenoptera; Vespidae.